UUGCACAAUGGGCGCAAGCCUGAUCCAGCCAUGCCGCGUGUGUGAAGAAGGCCUUCGGGUUGUAAAGCACUUUCAGCGGGGAGGAAGGCGUUUAGNUUAAUACCCGNANGUUUUGACGUUACCCNCAGAAUAAGCACCGGCUAACUUCGUGCCAGCAGCCGCGGUAAUACGAAGGGUGCAAGCGUUAAUCGGAAUUACUGGGCGUAAAGCGCGCGNAGGCGGUUUGUUAAGUCNGAUGUGAAAUCCCCGGGCUCAACCUGGGAACUGCAUUCGAAACUGGCANGCUAGAGUCUNGUAGAGGGGGGUGGAAUUCCCNGGUGUAGCGGUGAAAUGCGUAGAGAUCUGGAGGAACACCGGUGGCGAAGGCGGCCCCCUGGACNAAGACUGACGCUCAGGUGCGAAAGCGUGGGGAGCAAACAGGA
RNAcentral lists this ribosomal RNA (422 nucleotides) under gamma proteobacterium SCGC AAA027-D13. RNAcentral's name for it is "partial 16S small subunit ribosomal RNA". It matches the Rfam family "Bacterial small subunit ribosomal RNA", at positions 364 to 777 of the family's 1533-position model. Lineage: Bacteria; Pseudomonadati; Pseudomonadota; Gammaproteobacteria. The record is from RNAcentral.